Erinaceus europaeus (western European hedgehog) is the source of this 80-nucleotide small nuclear RNA. NCBI's taxonomy places the organism in Eukaryota, Metazoa, Chordata, Mammalia, Eulipotyphla, Erinaceidae. The record is from Ensembl.
GUGUUGCAUGAAAGGAGAGAAGGUUAGCACUCCCCUUGACAAGGAUGGGAAAAAAUACAUUCUCUGUUAUACUGCUUAUU